RNAcentral lists this ribosomal RNA (251 nucleotides) under uncultured bacterium. RNAcentral describes it as "partial 16S ribosomal RNA". It matches the Rfam family "Bacterial small subunit ribosomal RNA", at positions 57 to 305 of the family's 1533-position model. The record is from RNAcentral.
GCAAGUCGAGGGGCAACAGGAAAGUUCGGUCUUGGUGGCGACCGGCGCACGGGUGCGUAACGCGUAUGCAACCUACCUUAUACAGGGGGAUAGCCCAGAGAAAUUUGGAUUAAUACCCCAUAGUACCAUUUGAUGGCAUCUGAAGAUGGUUAAAGAUUUAUCGGUAUAAGAUGGGCAUGCGUAAGAUUAGCUAGUUGGUGAGGUAAUGGCUCACCAAGGCGACGAUCUUUAGGGGUUCUGAGAGGAUGAUC